RNAcentral lists this non-coding RNA (224 nucleotides) under Beta vulgaris subsp. vulgaris (sugar beet). RNAcentral also lists the same sequence under 1 other name. The record is from RNAcentral. Lineage: Eukaryota; Viridiplantae; Streptophyta; Magnoliopsida; Caryophyllales; Amaranthaceae.
AUGUUGACGCCCGUUGCUGGUCGACCACAAGCGAUUGUGGUCGCGACAAGAGGGAACCUGGUGCAAAUCCAGGGCUGCCCCGCAGCGGUAAGCGGAAACGAACGCCGUCAAUAAGCACUGGCUCGCAAGGGCUGGGAAGCGACGACUAGUAGGCGCCGGAGGACCUUUCGAGGCCCGCUGGCCAGUCCGCAAGUCCGAAGACCUGCCAGUGACUGAGCGGUUCA